CGUCUGUCAAUACAUAAACUCCAAUUAAAUAAAUCUGAAUGUAAUCUGAUGUAACACAUCUAUAAACUAAGUUUCAACAACGGAUCUCUUGGCUCUCGCAUCGAUGAAGAACGCAGCGAAAUGCGAUAAGUAAUGUGAAUUGCAGAAUUCAGUGAAUCAUCGAAUCUUUGAACGCACCUUGCGCUCCUUGGUAUUCCUCGGAGCAUGCCUGUUUGAGUAUCAUGAAAUUAUCAAAAUAAAUCUUUUGUUCACUCGAUCGAUUUUAUUUUGGACUUGGGGGUCUGCAGAUUCACGUCUGCUCCCCUUGAAUGCAUUAGCUGGAUCACUGUAGACUCGGUUCCACUCGGCGUGAUAAGUAUCACUCGCUGAGGACACUUUUGUAAAAGAAGUGGCCGGGACUAUCAGAGAACCGCUUCCAAUAGUCCAUUUGCUUGGACAAUUACAUUUAUGAUCUGAUCUCAAAUCAGGUAGGACUACCCGCUGAACUUAAGCAUAUCAAUAAGCGGAGGAAAAGAAACUAACAAGGAUUCCCCUAGUAACGGCGAGUGAAGCGGGAAGAGCUCAAAUUUAAAAUCUGGCGGUUACACCGUCCGAGUUGUAGUCUA
This 605-nucleotide ribosomal RNA is filed under the name uncultured fungus. RNAcentral describes it as "eukaryotic LSU rRNA". The stretch from base 69 to 222 matches the Rfam family "5.8S ribosomal RNA". Lineage: Eukaryota; Fungi. The record is from RNAcentral.